RNAcentral lists this small nucleolar RNA (101 nucleotides) under Erinaceus europaeus (western European hedgehog). Its description in RNAcentral is "Small nucleolar RNA SNORA17 (ENSEEUG00000023897.1)". It matches the Rfam family "Small nucleolar RNA SNORA17". From Rfam's summary of the family: snoRNA ACA 17 belongs to the H/ACA family of snoRNAs and is predicted to guide pseudouridylation of the 28S rRNA at positions U4659 and U4598. It shares the same host gene together with ACA43. NB This family has a high threshold value to exclude a large number of closely related sequences that do not appear to have conserved H and ACA boxes, and may be pseudogenes. The record is from RNAcentral. Lineage: Eukaryota; Metazoa; Chordata; Mammalia; Eulipotyphla; Erinaceidae.
UCCGACCUUAGUGACCUUACAGAUGUGACUGUUGUGUCACAAGUAUGUCAUUAGGGGGUUGUAUAGGGGAUUGAACCUGGGACUUGGGAGCCUCAGGCAUG